Molecule: transfer RNA, 87 nt
Filed under: Bacteroidota bacterium
Lineage: Bacteria; Pseudomonadati; Bacteroidota
Also listed under: 1 other name
Description: Bacteroidetes bacterium (marine metagenome) tRNA-Leu
Rfam family: tRNA
About the family: Transfer RNA (tRNA) molecules are approximately 80 nucleotides in length. Their secondary structure includes four short double-helical elements and three loops (D, anti-codon, and T loops).
Source: RNAcentral
GCCUGGAUGGCGGAAUUGGUAGACGCUCAAGACUUAAAAUCUUGUGUCCGUAAGGACGUGCCGGUUCGAUCCCGGCUCCAGGUACCA